GAUGUGGGUUCGAUUCCCGCUACCC
Molecule: transfer RNA, 25 nt
Filed under: Cistanche phelypaea
Lineage: Eukaryota; Viridiplantae; Streptophyta; Magnoliopsida; Lamiales; Orobanchaceae
Description: tRNA-Gly
Source: RNAcentral